RNAcentral lists this unclassified non-coding RNA (362 nucleotides) under soil metagenome. RNAcentral's name for it is "partial contains 5.8S ribosomal RNA, internal transcribed spacer 2, and large subunit ribosomal RNA". The stretch from base 1 to 120 matches the Rfam family "5.8S ribosomal RNA", at positions 35 to 154 of the family's 154-position model. The record is from RNAcentral.
GAUGAAGAACGUAGCGAAAUGCGAUAAGUAAUGUGAAUUGCAGAAUUCAGUGAAUCAUCGAAUCUUUGAACGCACCUUGCGCUCCUUGGUAUUCCGAGGAGCAUGCCUGUUUGAGUGUCAUUAAUAUAUCAACCUUCUCUUUUUUGAGUUGUUUGGAUGUGGGGGUUUGCUGGCCUCUUAAAUGAUUCAGCUCCCCUGAAAUGCAUUAGGAGAACAACCUGUUCAUUAGCGUGAUAAUUAUCUAUGCUAUUGAAUGUGAGGGCAGUUCAGCUUUCUAACCGUCCUUGGACAAUUCAUCAUUAAUGUGACCUCAAAUCAGGUAGGACUACCCGCUGAACUUAAGCAUAUCAAUAAGCGGAGGA